AACCUCCGCAAUGUGAGAAAUCGCGACGGGGGGAUCCCAAGUGCCAUUCUUAACGGGAUGGCUUUUCAUUAGUGUAAAGAGCUUUUGGAAUAAGAGCUGGGCAAGACCGGUGCCAGCCGCCGCGGUAACACCGGCAGCUCUAGUGGUAACAAUUUUUAUUGGGCCUAAAGCGUCCGUAGCCGGUUUAAUAAGUCUCUGGUGAAAUCCUGUAGCUUAACUGUGGGAAUUGCUGGAGAUACUAUUAGACUUGAGACCGGGAGAGGUUAGAGGUACUCCCAGGGUAGAGGUGAAAUUCUGUAAUCCUGGGAGGACCGCCUGUUGCGAAGGCGUCUAACUGGAACGGUUCUGACGGUGAGGACGAAAGUUAGGGGCGCGAACCGGAUUAGAUACCCGGGUAGUCCUAACUGUAAACGAUGCGGACUUGGUGUUGGGGUGGCUUUGAGCUGCUCCAGUGCCGAAGGGAAGCUGUUAAGUCCGCCGCCUGGGAAGUACGGUCGCAAGACUGAAACUUAAAGGGAAU
RNAcentral lists this ribosomal RNA (520 nucleotides) under uncultured bacterium. RNAcentral describes it as "bacterial SSU rRNA". It matches the Rfam family "Archaeal small subunit ribosomal RNA", at positions 345 to 866 of the family's 1478-position model. The record is from RNAcentral.